This 78-nucleotide transfer RNA is filed under the name Candidatus Heimdallarchaeota archaeon. RNAcentral's name for it is "tRNA-Glu". It matches the Rfam family "tRNA". Rfam says of the family: Transfer RNA (tRNA) molecules are approximately 80 nucleotides in length. Their secondary structure includes four short double-helical elements and three loops (D, anti-codon, and T loops). Further hydrogen bonds mediate the characteristic L-shaped molecular structure. tRNAs have two regions of fundamental functional importance: the anti-codon, which is responsible for specific mRNA codon recognition, and the 3' end, to which the tRNAs corresponding amino acid is attached (by aminoacyl-tRNA synthetases). tRNAs cope with the degeneracy of the genetic code in two manners: having more than one tRNA (with a specific anti-codon) for a particular amino acid; and 'wobble' base-pairing, i.e. permitting non-standard base-pairing at the 3rd anti-codon position. RNAcentral also lists the same sequence under 2 other names. The record is from RNAcentral. Lineage: Archaea; Promethearchaeati; Candidatus Heimdallarchaeota.
GCCCCAAUGGUGUAGCUCGGCCAAUCAUUACAGCCUUUCGAGUUGUAGACUCGGGUUCAAAUCCCGAUUGGGGCACCA